Molecule: long non-coding RNA, 134 nt
Organism: Xiphophorus hellerii (green swordtail)
Lineage: Eukaryota; Metazoa; Chordata; Actinopteri; Cyprinodontiformes; Poeciliidae
Exons: 3
Source: RefSeq, a predicted model, not a curated record
GUCGGUCUCCAGGUCGUUCUCCAGGUCGAUCUCCAGGACGUUUUCCAGGUCUCCAGGUCAUUCCCCAGGUCUCCAGGUCGGUCUCCAGGUCGUUCCCCAGGUCGGUCUCCAGGUCAUUCCCCAGGUCGGUCUCC